RNAcentral lists this ribosomal RNA (475 nucleotides) under uncultured bacterium. RNAcentral's name for it is "bacterial SSU rRNA". It matches the Rfam family "Bacterial small subunit ribosomal RNA", at positions 335 to 799 of the family's 1533-position model. The record is from RNAcentral.
ACUCCUACGGGAGGCAGCAGUGGGGGAAUAUUGCACAAUGGGGGGAAACCCUGAUGCAGCCAUGCCGCGUGUGUGAAGAAGGCCUUCGGGUUGUAAAGCACUUUCAGUAGGGAGGAAGGUAGUGUAGUUAACACCUGCAUUAUUUGACGUUACCUACAGAAGAAGCACCGGCUAACUCCGUGCCAGCAGCCGCGGUAAUACGGAGGGUGCGAGCGUUAAUCGGAAUUACUGGGCGUAAAGCGCAUGCAGGCGGCCUGUUAAGUCAGAUGUGAAAGCCCGGGGCUUAACCUCGGAAUUGCAUUUGAAACUGGCAGGCUAGAGUCUUGUAGAGGGGGGUAGAAUUUCAGGUGUAGCGGUGAAAUGCGUAGAGAUCUGAAGGAAUACCAGUGGCGAAGGCGGCCCCCUGGACAAAGACUGACGCUCAGAUGCGAAAGCGUGGGGAGCAAACAGGAUUAGAUACCCUGGUAGGAUAGCG